UACGUAGGGGGCCAGCGUUGUCCGGAAUCAUUGGGCGUAAAGCGCGCGUAGGCGGUCAAGUAAGUCCGGUGUGAAAGUCAAAGGCUCAACCUUUGAAUGCCGCUGGAAACUGCUUGACUUGAGUCCGGGAGGGGCGAGUGGAAUUCCUGGUGUAGCGGUGAAAUGCGCAGAUAUCAGGAGGAACACCAAUGGCGAAGGCAGCUCGCUGGAACGGUACUGACGCUGAGGCGCGAAAGCUAGGGGAGCAAACGGG
Molecule: ribosomal RNA, 253 nt
Filed under: uncultured bacterium
Lineage: Bacteria
Description: partial 16S ribosomal RNA
Rfam family: Bacterial small subunit ribosomal RNA
Source: RNAcentral